CACGGGGGGAGCAAGCGUUGUUCGGAAUCACUGGGCGUAAAGGGCGUGUAGGCGGUCAGGUAAGUGGGAUGUGAAAUGCCCCGGCUCACCCGGGGACCGGCAUCCCAUACUGCUUGGCUUGAGUACGGGAGAGGAUGUGGGAAUUCCUGGUGUAGCGGUGAAAUGCGUAGAUAUCAGGAGGAACACCGGUGGCGAAGGCGCACAUCUGGCCCGAUACUGACGCUGAGGCGCGAAAGCUAGGGGAGCGAACGGG
RNAcentral lists this ribosomal RNA (253 nucleotides) under uncultured bacterium. Its description in RNAcentral is "partial 16S ribosomal RNA". It matches the Rfam family "Bacterial small subunit ribosomal RNA", at positions 524 to 776 of the family's 1533-position model. The record is from RNAcentral.